This 140-nucleotide ribosomal RNA is filed under the name uncultured bacterium. RNAcentral describes it as "partial 16S ribosomal RNA". It matches the Rfam family "Bacterial small subunit ribosomal RNA", at positions 355 to 507 of the family's 1533-position model. The record is from RNAcentral. RNAcentral also lists the same sequence under 2 other names.
UGGGGAAUAUUGGGCAAUGGAGGAAACUCUGACCCAGCGACGCCGCGUGCGGGAUGAAGGCCUUCGGGUUGUAAACCGCUUUCAGCAGGGAAGAAGCGAAAGUGACGGUACCUGCAGAAGAAGCACCGGCUAACUAUGUG